Molecule: ribosomal RNA, 510 nt
Filed under: Aspergillus proliferans
Lineage: Eukaryota; Fungi; Ascomycota; Eurotiomycetes; Eurotiales; Aspergillaceae
Description: eukaryotic LSU rRNA
Rfam family: 5.8S ribosomal RNA (bases 143-296)
Source: RNAcentral
CGAGUGCGGGCCCUCUGGGUCCAACCUCCCAUCCGUGUCUAUCUGUACCCUGUUGCUUCGGCGUGGCCACGGCCCGCCGAAGACUAACAUUUGAACACUGUCUGAAGUUUGCAGUCUGAGUUUUUAGUUAAACAAUAAUUAAAACUUUCAACAACGGAUCUCUUGGUUCCGGCAUCGAUGAAGAACGCAGCGAAAUGCGAUAAUUAAUGUGAAUUGCAGAAUUCAGUGAAUCAUCGAGUCUUUGAACGCACAUUGCGCCCCCUGGUAUUCCGGGGGGCAUGCCUGUCCGAGCGUCAUUGCUGCCCUCAAGCACGGCUUGUGUGUUGGGCUUCCGUCCCUGGUAACGGGGACGGGCCCAAAAGGCAGUGGCGGCACCAUGUCUGGUCCUCGAGCGUAUGGGGCUUUGUCACCCGCUCCCGUAGGUCCAGCUGGCAGCUAGCCUCGCAACCAAUCUUUUUAACCAGGUUGACCUCGGAUCAGGUAGGGAUACCCGCUGAACUUAAGCAUAUC